This 468-nucleotide ribosomal RNA is filed under the name uncultured bacterium. Its description in RNAcentral is "partial 16S ribosomal RNA". It matches the Rfam family "Bacterial small subunit ribosomal RNA", at positions 28 to 507 of the family's 1533-position model. The record is from RNAcentral.
GACGAACGCUGGCGGCGUGCUUAACACAUGCAAUUCGAACGGAAAGGCCCUGCUUUUGUGGGGUGCUCGAGUGGCGAACUGGUGAGUAACACGUUAGUAACCUGCCCUUGACUUUGGGAUAACUUCAGGAAACUUGGGCUAAUACCUUAUAGGAGCUCCUGCUGCAUGGUGUGGUUUGGAAAGUUUCGGCGGUGGGGGAUGGACUCGCGGCUUAUCAGCUUGUUGGUGGGGUAGUGGCUUACCAAGGCUUUGACGGGUAGCCGGCCUGAGAGGGUGACCGGCCACAUUGGGACUGAGAUACGGCCCAGACUCCUACGUGAGGCAGCAGUGGGGAAUAUUGCACAAUGGGCGGAAGCCUGAUGCAGCAACGCCGCGUGCGGGAUGACGGCCUUCGGGUUGUAAACCGCUUUCGCCUGUGACGAAGCGUGAGUGACGGUAAUGGGUAAAGAAGCACCGGCUAACUACGUG